Long non-coding RNA from Populus nigra (black poplar), 2547 nucleotides. RefSeq lists it as uncharacterized. The record is from RefSeq and is a predicted model, not a curated record. The transcript is spliced from 4 exons. NCBI's taxonomy places the organism in Eukaryota, Viridiplantae, Streptophyta, Magnoliopsida, Malpighiales, Salicaceae.
AAAACAAGAUUUCAAGAAACUGCGAAACAUCAAAUACAGACACCAUCGCACAGGAACCUCCACAGACAGAACUAAAACCCUGCCGGCUUUAGUUCAGAAAUCAGCUUAAGGAAACAAACACAGCAUCUCGCACUUUCUCUGUAAAUAUACAUACAAAGCAUGAUAAUUUCGAAGCAUAAAUAAAUAAAAUUAUAAAGAGACUGAUAAGUUAUAAAUAAUUUGGAAAAAUGGUAAAAGGAGAUGCGGUGACCAAAGAGAAGAACAAAGCAAGAAGAAAGAAGAUGCAAAAGGAGGACUCAAAUGUUUCAGCUCGUCUUGCUUCCAUUAUAGCAACCAAAAAGCGCCGCCUGUCUGGAAAACGUCGGAUGUGCCAGGUAAGUAAAAGAAGGGAACUUGUGCAUUGUUUUUUGAAGUAUAUUUGGGUUUUGUUGAUUAGUUUUUGAGAUUAAAGUUGAGUUAUUUAUGUUUUGAAUGGUUUAGAGUGAGAAAGAUGAGAAAUUGUGAUGUGGGUUUUGCUUGUUUUUGUUGGUUUAAGUGUUUUGUGUUGUUUGUUAGGAGAUUUAUGAAUUUGAACCAGAAUCAGGAAUUGGUAGAAGGAGGUUUUGCUUGUUUGUUUGAUUGAUUGAUGUGUGUAUUAUGGGGCAUUGCAAGCACUUGCAUUUGCUGUUGUUUUUUUAUUGAGAUAUCAGAUGUUGUGCUUUGGAAAACUAAGACUUGUUUCCAAGCAAAAUCUGAGCUUGUUGGGUUUUCUUUUGGGAAAUAACUUGGUGUGUUAUUAUUUUAUAUUAAUUAACAUUUGUGUAGCUUACAGUGUGUUAAAAAAUGAUUGGCUGGGGCUGUGUUUUAGCCUUCCUACUCCAAAUGAUCCAUUCAAUGACAGGAAUGUUUGGCAAGUUGUGAACCUGAAUUUCUUGUGUCCACACCUGAGAAACUUUUGGAGCUUGUUUCCCUGAAGGCUAUGGAUUUAUCAGGGUUCUCCUUUCUGGUUGUUGAUGGAGUGGAAUCUCUUUAUAAAGGCGGUUGUCUUGAUGCUCUUAAAUCCAUUAGGCAAUCUAUUUCUGUUUGUCCCCGGGCUGUGGUUUUCAACAAUUUCCUUAGUGGUUCUUGCGUUCUGGCUUUACAGAAUCUUCUCCUGGGAUCACUUGUAGAUUGUCUCUCAAUCUGUCUAUUCCCAGUCAAAGUGCAUGUGUUGUGCAAACAACAAAUGUGUGCACUUCUGAUGAAAUAAGACUUAUAAAGGAAUCCAAGUUUUGAAUCAUGCUUGUGACAGCCAACUCGCCUCUCAACCCUUAAAGGUGCUAUAUGUAGUUGGAAAUGAUAGCAACUCUUUCAAUUUAGUUAAGAUGCUCAAAAUCAAUGGUUAUACUGUCUCUACUGGCUCAAAUCACAAUAUUUCAGAUGAUGAUAACAGGUCAGUACUUUAUUUAUGCCUGCUAUCUAUUCUUUUCUCCAGUAGUUUUGUUUCUGCGAGCCUUUUCAUUUCAUAUUAUUUUUCUAAUCUUUACUGAAAUGUUGGUGCUGACACGUUUCUUAUUUUGAGACUCAAGCAGCAAAUGGGAUGUUAGAGGAUAGAAGGUAGACAAAAGUUUGAAUGGUACUACAGUAUAUAAAUGUUAGAAAUCAGGCUAUUAUGGAAUAAUGUAAUAAUAAUUACUACGGUGACACAUGUUAUAAAUACCAUCUUAUAAAACCAAGCUGAUUUUCUGCUAAGCUUCUCCUAUUCUGGUUUUAGACUUAAACUUCAAAUUGGGUCGUGGAACAGAAUUGGGUAGCUGAUUUAUCCAGUUUGCUACCACUUCUAAGGUUUCUCUUCGGCACAAAGUUCUUCUAGUCUCGGGCUCUUAUAACUUAUUUUUGUUUGCUUUGUUCAGCCUGGAUAUGAAUGUCAGAAGGAAACCUCUGGUCUUCGUGAUCAAUGUGGAGCACAUCCUACUACUGAUUUAGCUUUCUACGAAACUGUAUUCUUUCCCAAUUUUGCAGUCAAUUGAUAAUUAUGUUCAAAUCCACACAAGAAUGGCCAGGUACACUAUCAAUGGCGUCUCCCAUAGCUUUUUAACCAAAGAAGAUGCACCGAUAGCUGGACCGCUAAACAAAAUUCUUGAGCAAUGUGGGCAGGCAGUGCCUGAUGCCUUGAGAAACUUGCAUCUCACAUCAUCCAUGUUGGAAUCAUGAAGCUUCAAUUUUCGCUCAUCAUUACUUCAUCCCCAUUCUUUAUAGAUCCUAGAAUGUCUUCACCAGAAGCAACGAUUGCACUGUCCGUACCAAGUUUCUAUCCUGGACGGGUCUCGCAAAUGGUGAUAAUUUAUAAUGUGCAACAUCCUCACGGUGGUUUUGAAGAUAAUAUAGAUGAGAGCCUGAGUUAUUUCUGGUUCUAAACAUGGUAUAGCAAGCCAGAAUGGCUGUGUUAGUGAAAAUUUGUGAACGUUUUAGUUUCUUUGAGUUGUCUUUCAUUCUCUUGGCGGUUACCUAACAGAAUGAUGUCACAGUUUUGUCUCCAGAAUACAUACCACCAUCGUUUUUCACACUCAAGAUUUUAUAUUUGCCCUA